GUUCCAGACUCCUACGGGAGGCAGCAGUGGGGAAUAUUGGGCAAUGGGCGCAAGCCUGACCCAGCAACGCCGCGUGAAGGAAGAAGGCUUUCGGGUUGUAAACUUCUUUUCUCAGGGACGAGGAAAGUGACGGUACCUGAGGAAUAAGCCACGGCUAACUACGUGCCAGCAGCCGCGGUAAUACGUAGGUGGCAAGCGUUAUCCGGAUUUAUUGGGUGUAAAGGGCGUGUAGGCGGGAACGCAAGUCAGAUGUGAAAACGCAGGGCUCAACCCUGGGCCUGCAUUUGAAACUGUGUUUCUUGAGUGCUGGAGAGGCAAUCGGAAUUCCGUGUGUAGUGGUGAAAUGCGUAGAUAUACGGAGGAACACCAGUGGCGAAGGCGGAUUGCUGGACUGUAACUGACGUUGAGGCUCGAAAGCGUGGGGAGCAAACAGGAUUAGAUACCCUGGUAA
Molecule: ribosomal RNA, 451 nt
Filed under: uncultured bacterium
Lineage: Bacteria
Description: bacterial SSU rRNA
Rfam family: Bacterial small subunit ribosomal RNA
Source: RNAcentral